GGGUCUUUAGCUCAGUUGGUAGAGCGGCUCCUUUACACGGAGUAGGUCGGCAGUUCGAGACUGUCAAGACCCACCA
This 76-nucleotide transfer RNA is filed under the name Giesbergeria sp. RNAcentral describes it as "tRNA-Val". It matches the Rfam family "tRNA". From Rfam's summary of the family: Transfer RNA (tRNA) molecules are approximately 80 nucleotides in length. Their secondary structure includes four short double-helical elements and three loops (D, anti-codon, and T loops). The record is from RNAcentral. Lineage: Bacteria; Pseudomonadati; Pseudomonadota; Betaproteobacteria; Burkholderiales; Comamonadaceae.